This 253-nucleotide ribosomal RNA is filed under the name uncultured bacterium. Its description in RNAcentral is "partial 16S ribosomal RNA". It matches the Rfam family "Bacterial small subunit ribosomal RNA", at positions 524 to 776 of the family's 1533-position model. The record is from RNAcentral.
UACGAAGGGGGCUAGCGUUGUUCGGAAUUACUGGGCGUAAAGCGCACGUAGGCGGACAUUUAAGUCAGGGGUGAAAUCCCGGGGCUCAACCCCGGAACUGCCUUUGAUACUGGGUGUCUCGAGUCCGGAAGAGGUGAGUGGAAUUCCGAGUGUAGAGGUGAAAUUCGUAGAUAUUCGGAGGAACACCAGUGGCGAAGGCGGCUCACUGGCCCGUUACCGACGCUCAGGCGCGACAGCGUGGGGAGCAAACAGG